CGUUGAACCAUCAGGGAAAAUCCCCAUUUUGCCAAUGGUUGACAUGCGUUUUGACCAUUGUCAUGGUCCGGCAAGAGCGAUAUUUGGAUUUCCCAUAUUGGAAUCAGAAGAACCAUUUGCAAAGUUCAUUACGCUGUUAACUUUCAAAAUGUGUUUGGCGGAAAGCAAUUUCCUUUGUUGUUAACAGCAUCCCGCCCAAAACUUCCUUUACGCAAAAUGGGUUCUCAUAAAAGCAACGUUAACUUAAUUUCGUCCAGAUUGCAUGUUAUCUUAUUUAACUUGAGCUGUCCCAUGUGUGCCUGUGGUGUUUGGCUGCUGACGAAGGCAUUUCUGAUCUAAACACUGUAAGGUGGUGAAUUUACUGAAAGGUCAUAUGUUAUGUGAAGGAUCCUUAUCCCUGGCUAGACUAAAGGAUUGAGAUGUCUUUUGCGCAAUUCUGGUUUCUAAAGUGGCGACCUGUCCUACGAUGGUUUCCUGCCCGUCACACCGUUGUCAGUACUUCCAUGCUGCUUGCCAUUUUCCGCAUUCUGGCUCUUGUCAGGAGAAGAGAGGGGUGGAUAUUCGUACGGCCGGCGUCUGGGCGAGUCGGCCAGGUACAUUGGGCAAUUGAAUGUGAAUGAGAGCGAUUUGUCAUUUUAUCAUGUAAAGCAAAUAACCCAUUCUCACCCCGCUGAUGAUCUGAAGGGGAGCAGUCUGCUCCGUACUAAAGGA
Molecule: long non-coding RNA, 711 nt
Organism: Daphnia carinata
Lineage: Eukaryota; Metazoa; Arthropoda; Branchiopoda; Diplostraca; Daphniidae
Exons: 6
Source: RefSeq, a predicted model, not a curated record